This 222-nucleotide ribosomal RNA is filed under the name uncultured bacterium. Its description in RNAcentral is "partial 16S ribosomal RNA". It matches the Rfam family "Bacterial small subunit ribosomal RNA", at positions 1270 to 1500 of the family's 1533-position model. The record is from RNAcentral.
AAUCUCGAAAGCCUGUCUCAGUUCGGAUUGGAGGCUGAAACCCGCCUCCAUGAAGUUGGAUUCGCUAGUAAUCGCGCAUCAGCCAUGGCGCGGUGAAUACGUUCCCGGGCCUUGUACACACCGCCCGUCAAGCCAUGGAAGCUGGGGGUGCCUGAAGUUCGUGACCGGAAGGAGCGACCUAGGGCAAAACCGGUGACUGGGGCUAAGUCGUAACAAGGUAGC